CUUUACCAGACUGCCCAAGGGAUCCAAGACAGUGGAUGCUAUAGAACUUUAAGGUUUACAAAGACCAUUCCCCACAAAUAACCCCUGCAAAACAAUGAGUAGUUCUGAAUUCCCUGCUUCAACUCUCGGAGUGUUAAAUUGUAUUUAACAAAAGGCAUGUUUGGCUUUGGUCUUCUUGAAUCUCGGUAGCUUGUUACAAACAUGUUGUGAAGGUUUUCUAACUGGGGAUUGAGG
This is a non-coding RNA of Phascolarctos cinereus (koala), 234 nucleotides long. The record is from RefSeq and is a predicted model, not a curated record. Lineage: Eukaryota; Metazoa; Chordata; Mammalia; Diprotodontia; Phascolarctidae.